AUGAGUCUUGUCCUUUCUAUCCGCGUCCAUCCUUCUUGGCCUUUUCAAUGGAGGAUACCUCUUUUCUCACAUUUUUCGACACACAUGUCACUCAUUUUGAGUCCUUGUCCACCCAUCCCACUGGUCCUGCUCAUCUAUUUGAUGUCGCUAGCUCCUAUGGUUUCCUCACCUCAUUUGUCACAUGACUUUACACCUUCAUUUCCAGUGACUUACUCAUAUCCAUCACUUGAGUCUAUUCUGGUGAUUCCUCCUUGUAUUCUUCCAUCUUUUCCUCACUAUUAUACUCAUCCUCCAUGUGUUGUGCAUGAGUCUACUAACGAGCCAUCUACUUCUUAUGUGCCAUCUUCCUUUCAACCUACUUAUGGUUUUCGUGCUCGUCCUCGGCCUACUAUUGACCUCUCUGGUCUUUCUGGCAAUAUCGUUCUUGGGACGACUUCUUAUCAUGAUGUUGUUGCUCAUCCUGAAUGGCAACAUGUGAUGUCCGAGAAGAUUCCUACUCUUGAGCGCAUCGACACAUGGGAUCUUGUUUCCCUUCCUUCUUAUGUUUGUCCCAUCACUUGCAAGUGGGUCUACAAGGUAAAGAGACACUCGAUAGUUCUCUUGAGCGAUAUAAAGCUCGUCUUGUGUCUCGUGGAUUUCAAUAGGAUCAUGGUCGUGAUUAUGAUGAGACAUUGCUCAUGUGGACCACAUGACCAUUGUUUGCACACUUCUCAGUUUGAUGUUAAGAAUGCCUUUCUUAAUGGUGAGUUGUGUGAGGAGGUUUACAUGCAGCCAUCACUAGAGUAUUAUGUUCCUGAUGGCAUGGUAUGUGGUCUUUGUCACUCUUUCUAUGACCCUAAGCAAGCCCCUCGUGUGUGGCUUGUGCAUUUUGCCUCUAUGGUGAUUGCGGCUAGUUUCGGUGAGUGCUCACGAUCCUGCGCUUUUUUUCUACCACUUCACUCAUGA
This 945-nucleotide ribosomal RNA is filed under the name Triticum aestivum (bread wheat). RNAcentral describes it as "partial small subunit ribosomal RNA". The record is from RNAcentral. Lineage: Eukaryota; Viridiplantae; Streptophyta; Magnoliopsida; Poales; Poaceae.